This 1191-nucleotide ribosomal RNA is filed under the name Escherichia coli KTE47. Its description in RNAcentral is "bacterial SSU rRNA". It matches the Rfam family "Bacterial small subunit ribosomal RNA", at positions 8 to 1189 of the family's 1533-position model. The record is from RNAcentral. Lineage: Bacteria; Pseudomonadati; Pseudomonadota; Gammaproteobacteria; Enterobacterales; Enterobacteriaceae.
AGAGUUUGAUCAUGGCUCAGAUUGAACGCUGGCGGCAGGCCUAACACAUGCAAGUCGAACGGUAACAGGAAGCAGCUUGCUGCUUUGCUGACGAGUGGCGGACGGGUGAGUAAUGUCUGGGAAACUGCCUGAUGGAGGGGGAUAACUACUGGAAACGGUAGCUAAUACCGCAUAACGUCGCAAGACCAAAGAGGGGGACCUUCGGGCCUCUUGCCAUCGGAUGUGCCCAGAUGGGAUUAGCUAGUAGGUGGGGUAAAGGCUCACCUAGGCGACGAUCCCUAGCUGGUCUGAGAGGAUGACCAGCCACACUGGAACUGAGACACGGUCCAGACUCCUACGGGAGGCAGCAGUGGGGAAUAUUGCACAAUGGGCGCAAGCCUGAUGCAGCCAUGCCGCGUGUAUGAAGAAGGCCUUCGGGUUGUAAAGUACUUUCAGCGGGGAGGAAGGGAGUAAAGUUAAUACCUUUGCUCAUUGACGUUACCCGCAGAAGAAGCACCGGCUAACUCCGUGCCAGCAGCCGCGGUAAUACGGAGGGUGCAAGCGUUAAUCGGAAUUACUGGGCGUAAAGCGCACGCAGGCGGUUUGUUAAGUCAGAUGUGAAAUCCCCGGGCUCAACCUGGGAACUGCAUCUGAUACUGGCAAGCUUGAGUCUCGUAGAGGGGGGUAGAAUUCCAGGUGUAGCGGUGAAAUGCGUAGAGAUCUGGAGGAAUACCGGUGGCGAAGGCGGCCCCCUGGACGAAGACUGACGCUCAGGUGCGAAAGCGUGGGGAGCAAACAGGAUUAGAUACCCUGGUAGUCCACGCCGUAAACGAUGUCGACUUGGAGGUUGUGCCCUUGAGGCGUGGCUUCCGGAGCUAACGCGUUAAGUCGACCGCCUGGGGAGUACGGCCGCAAGGUUAAAACUCAAAUGAAUUGACGGGGGCCCGCACAAGCGGUGGAGCAUGUGGUUUAAUUCGAUGCAACGCGAAGAACCUUACCUGGUCUUGACAUCCACGGAAGUUUUCAGAGAUGAGAAUGUGCCUUCGGGAACCGUGAGACAGGUGCUGCAUGGCUGUCGUCAGCUCGUGUUGUGAAAUGUUGGGUUAAGUCCCGCAACGAGCGCAACCCUUAUCCUUUGUUGCCAGCGGUCCGGCCGGGAACUCAAAGGAGACUGCCAGUGAUAAACUGGAGGAAGGUGGGGAUGACGUCAAG